GACGGGGGAGCACCACAACAGGUGGAGCCUGCGGUUUAAUCGGACUCAACGCCGGGAAACUCACCAGAUAAGACAGCUGAAUGAUAGUCGGGCUGAAGACUCUACUUGACUAGCUGAGAGGAGGUGCAUGGCCGUCGUCAGUUCGUACUGUGAAGCAUCCUGUUAAGUCAGGCAACGAGCGAGACCCACGCCAACAGUUGCCAGCUCGUCCUCCGGGAUGGUGGGGACACUGUUGGGACCGCCUCUGCUAAAGAGGAGGAAGGAAUGGGCAACGGUAGGUCAGCAUGCCCCGAAUUAUCUGGGCUACACGCGGGCUACAAUGGGUGGGACAAUGGGUAUCGACACCGAAAGGUGAAGGCAAUCUCCUAAACCCAUCCGUAGUUCGGAUUGUGGGCUGCAACUCGCCCACAUGAAGCUGGAAUCUGUAGUAAUCGCGUUUCAACAGAACGCGGUGAAUACGUCCCUGCUCCUU
This 472-nucleotide ribosomal RNA is filed under the name uncultured Methanomicrobiales archaeon. Its description in RNAcentral is "bacterial SSU rRNA". It matches the Rfam family "Archaeal small subunit ribosomal RNA", at positions 867 to 1338 of the family's 1478-position model. Lineage: Archaea; Methanobacteriati; Methanobacteriota; Methanomicrobia; Methanomicrobiales. The record is from RNAcentral.